GGCUCGAGCGUCAGCGAGAGAGCGUUGCCGCAGGCAACGACCCGAAGGGCGAAGCGCGCAGCGCUGAGUAAUCCUUCCCCCACCACCA
This 88-nucleotide small RNA is filed under the name Escherichia coli. RNAcentral's name for it is "partial RtT sRNA". It matches the Rfam family "RtT RNA", at positions 45 to 130 of the family's 130-position model. Rfam says of the family: This family represents a bacterial cis-regulatory element known as RtT RNA. The exact function of RtT is unknown although it is thought that it may be involved in changing the cellular response in relation to amino acid starvation. Lineage: Bacteria; Pseudomonadati; Pseudomonadota; Gammaproteobacteria; Enterobacterales; Enterobacteriaceae. The record is from RNAcentral.